RNAcentral lists this ribosomal RNA (497 nucleotides) under uncultured bacterium. RNAcentral describes it as "partial 16S ribosomal RNA". It matches the Rfam family "Bacterial small subunit ribosomal RNA", at positions 28 to 507 of the family's 1533-position model. The record is from RNAcentral.
GAUGAACGCUGGCGGCGUGCCUAAUACAUGCAAGUCGAGCGAACAGACGAGGAGCUUGCUCCUCUGACGUUAGCGGCGGACGGGUGAGUAACACGUGGAUAACCUACCUAUAAGACUGGGAUAACUUCGGGAAACCGGAGCUAAUACCGGAUAAUAUAUUGAACCGCAUGGUUCAAUAGUGAAAGACGGUUUUGCUGUCACUUAUAGAUGGAUCCGCGCCGCAUUAGCUAGUUGGUAAGGUAACGGCUUACCAAGGCAACCAUGCGUAGCCGACCUGAGAGGGUGAUAGGCCACACUGGAACUGAGACACGGUCCAGACUCCUACGGGAGGCAGCAGUAGGGAAUCUUCCGCAAUGGGCGAAAGCUUGACGGAGCAACGCCGCGUGAGUGAUGAAGGUCUUCGGAUCGUAAAACUCUGUUAUUAGGGAAGAACAAAUGUGUAAGUAACCAUGCACGUCUUGACGGUACCUAAUCAGAAAGCCACGGCUAACUACGUG